CUUUGAUGUACAAGGCACUAUGCCGGAUCCUCGAGAUACCGCAACAGACGGGACUACAUCAACAGUUGGAAAGUAAUGGCGAUGAAGUAAUUGGCUCAUUGUCAGGACUGCAAUGGGGUCAUCGCAGUUUUCCAAAACUAUUUGACUACAUAAAACUAUUUUUCAUGGAAUAAUCACUGAGAUCUUAUGAAAUUCUCC
RNAcentral lists this long non-coding RNA (198 nucleotides) under Mustela putorius furo (domestic ferret). RNAcentral's name for it is "lncRNA (ENSMPUG00000030217.1)". Lineage: Eukaryota; Metazoa; Chordata; Mammalia; Carnivora; Mustelidae. The record is from RNAcentral.